This 305-nucleotide ribosomal RNA is filed under the name uncultured bacterium. RNAcentral's name for it is "bacterial SSU rRNA". It matches the Rfam family "Bacterial small subunit ribosomal RNA", at positions 334 to 639 of the family's 1533-position model. The record is from RNAcentral.
GUCCCCUACGGACGCAGCAGUGGGGAAUAUUGCACAAUGGGCGCAAGCCUGAUGCAGCGACGCCGCGUGCGGGAUGGAGGCCUUCGGGUUGUAAACCGCUUUUGUUCAAGGGCAAGGCACGGUCUUUGGCCGUGUUGGGUGGAUUGUUCGAAUAAGCACCGGCUAACUACGUGCCAGCAGCCGCGGUAAUACGUAGGGUGCAAGCGUUAUCCGGAUUUAUUGGGCGUAAAGGGCUCGUAGGCGGUUCGUCGCGUCCGGUGUGAAAGUCCAUCGCUUAACGGUGGAUCCGCGCCGGGUACGGGCGG